This 744-nucleotide ribosomal RNA is filed under the name uncultured bacterium. RNAcentral describes it as "bacterial SSU rRNA". It matches the Rfam family "Bacterial small subunit ribosomal RNA", at positions 8 to 782 of the family's 1533-position model. The record is from RNAcentral.
AGAGUUUGAUCAUGGCUCAGAUUGAACGCUGGCGGCAUGGCUAAAACAUGCAAGUCGAACGCGAAAGCACCUUCGGGUGCAAGUAGAGUGGCGUAAGGGCGAGGAAUACGUUCCUACGUACCCCAAGGUCGAGGAUAGCUCGGAGAAAUCCGGGGUAAUACUCGAUGUGGUGCUUCGGCAUCAAAGGCUUGUCUGCCUUGGGAGCGGGGAACGUCCUAUCAGGUUGUUGGUGAGGUAACGGCUCACCAAGCCGAAGACGGGUAGCGGGUGUGAGAGCAUGACCCGCCGCAUCGGGACUGAGACACUGCCCGGACUCCUACGGGAGGCUGCAGUAACGAAUAUUCCGCAAUGCACGAAAGUGUGACGGGGCAAUGCCGCGUGUGGGAUGAAGCCCCUCGGGGUGUAAACCACUGUCAGAGUUUAGGAACACAAUGACCAGACUCAAAGGAAGGGCCGGCUAACUCUGUGCCAGCAGCCGCGGUAAUACAGAGGGCCCGAGCGUUAAUCGGAAUCACUGGGCUUAAAGAGUGCGUAGGCUGACGUGUAGGUACCUUGUGAAAUCCCUCGGCUCAACCGGGGAAUUGCUCGGUAAACCAUACGUCUUGAGGCAGGUAGGGGUGGUCGGAACGCUAGGUGGAGCGGUGGAAUGCGUAGAUAUCUAGCGGAACGCCAAUGGAGAAGUCAGGCCACUGGGCCUGUCCUGACGCUGAGGGCACGAAAGCGUGGUAGCGAACGGGGAUUGGA